Molecule: long non-coding RNA, 2692 nt
Organism: Lagopus muta (rock ptarmigan)
Lineage: Eukaryota; Metazoa; Chordata; Aves; Galliformes; Phasianidae
Exons: 3
Source: RefSeq, a predicted model, not a curated record
UUGAUCAGCUCCACCUGUGCCCACACCUGCUGCCCAUGGCAGGGGCCUCUUUUAAGCUCCGGUGCAAUUUUCUAGGCCUUGCUCUAAGUCUACCUGCUCAGAAUUUUUCUGCUAUUUGUUAUUUAGGACAGCUAGACUUCUGACUUUUUACUCUGCUUUUGUCUGAAGAUUGUGGGGCUGUGGUUGGAGAUUUUUUGGCUGCUGUGUUGGCUGGGGCACCUAGCUGUACCUGUUGGUGAUUUGAACCUCUGCCCAUGCAGCCCCGUGAUCGGAGACUUUCAAUAGCCAGUGAUGAAGUUUCUUGCUGUGCUUUUGUGUAUCAUACAAUGCCAAAGCACCCAAGUUUAUCCCCAGCAGCAUAUGAAGAAAUGCCUAGAACAGAAAACACCCAAAAAGCCAAAGCAUGGGGGGUGCACAGUGGGAAAAGGAGUGCAGUGGGAAGAGCCACUUCAGAAGAGGAUGACUGAUCUUUGAGAGAGGCUGAGAAGUCUGCAAAGAGCAGGAAGGCAGUAUUUGAGAUAGAAGAUCCAAGAUGUUUUGCUAUGACUCUGUUGGAUAAUAGCUUAAGAAAAAUGCAAGAAUAUCAACUACAGGUAUAAUUCUAAAACAUGAUGGUCUCUGUGAGGAGAAACACCAUAGAGUUAUUAUGUUCUAACCCAGUUUAUAGUUUUAUAUUUCAAAGACUCUGUAAAAUUAAUAGCUUGUGUUACUUUUUGAAAACACAGUUAGAGGAAAAGGUAUAAUGAAUAAAUUACUGGUUAAUUCUGACUCCUGGAAUUUGAAAAAGAAUUGUAUUUAUGCUGUAUUUUGCCACAGGUUUAUGCUGGUUUUUUUUUGGGGGGGAAGGUGAAAACUGAAUGUGAACUUGUACUGUAUGUACUUGGCUGAUAACAGAAAAAAAGGACAGAGAUGAAAUCAAGAAAUGGUCACUCCCAGUUUUUCUAACAGUUUAUAAAGAUUUCCUUUGAUUAAAGAUACUCCCUGACCACCUUUAUGUAACCUAUUCAGAAAUGUAAACUGCUCUUAAUGUUAGAGAGCAGUUUCAGAAUUUUAUAUCUCUGGUAGCUUCUCAUUUAAUUCUGUCUCGAUGUUUCAGUUGAUUUUUCCUUUCCUAGUGAUGUAAACCCUGUUAUUUACACUUUCUAGCUCUUUCAAGCUCACGUUUGCUAUUAUCUCGCUUCUUCAUACAGAAACAUAUCUAUUAUCAAAACAUCAGUCUUAGAUUUACUUAACUCUACAAACCAUACUACUUUGAUAUCAUUUGUGAAGUCAUAAUCCAGUCCUGUGCUCACUGCAAUUGCUAUUCUGUAUAUGUAUUCUAACUUGAAGCAGUAUUUUUGAGCACUGGAGAUUCAAAUAAUAUUUCUGACAUUCAGAUUUAAUAUCUGGACAAUAUCUCACCUAUGCCUUAUACAAGAGUAUUGAUCUCCCUUGCCUUUUCCAGAAAUACUUUUUCAAAUCGAUUCAAUAUCCUUUUCCAAAGCAGAUGCUCACUGAUGAUUCAUAGACAUGCAGUGACAGAGUAAUAUCAGUGAUUUGCUGCAGAUGAGCAUUGUUGUUUUUUUUUUUUUUUUACAGAAAUUUUAUCAGUCUCUAAGUGCAUAGUAUUGCAUUCUGUAUUAAUGACAUUUUAUUCCAUUUUCUAUAUUCCAUAUAUAUUUGAGUUCCCCUUGUUUUUCUGAUCCUCUGUAUUGAUAAUGCCUAAAAAGUCCAACCACCUUUUUUGGUAUUAUUAUUAGUGUAAAUAUUAAAAUUAGGUCUAUGCUGAUUCCUGAAUAAUCUAUUUACUGAGUCUUGCAGGCUCAUAGUUGACUUUUCAGUAUAAUUUUUUGCUGUUUUCCAUUUAACUAUUUUGUUAAGUAGAGUGCUUAACUUACUUAAAGUAUAUGCUUAACUUUAUGCACUGAGCUUUAUGACUGAUGUCAAAUUGAACUUAAAUGUACACUUGGUUGAUUUUUCACUAGAACUGUGCUAGAACUUAACAUCUACUCUUAGUACGUAUUUCCAACGUUUCCAAUAGUAUGGAUGAUUCUGAAUUUUCUUCUAAUGCUAAUAUUCGCUGGAAUAAGAGAGGAAGCUAAGGGGAAUUAUGGCACAGGUAUGGAAAUACAGACAUUAGCAAUCACACACAUCUGAGUUUCAUGCUCAAACAGCUGAAACUCCAAAUUGUCUGCUAUUUCAGUUACUCCACCUGCAUAUUUCAGUCAUAUUUACAGAAAAUUCAUUUCUGAACUCUGCCAGCCAGAUUAUUAAGUGAUCAUGUUUCCACAACACUAAUACAAGUUUAUUUUCUAGAUGUAGUUCUAUAUUGAUUAGACUGAAAGAGCAGUUAGUUUUUUCAUUAAAUAUAAUGGAAGGAAGUUAUGUAUGGAAAUACUAUAUGCUAAGUCAAAUCUUAAACCUUUUCUUUGUUUUAAAAUCCAUUGAGCAUUCAGGUUUUACUUGUCCUUUCCAUAAAUAUUUGACUGUUGUGCAUUGCUAUGUUACACGUAAUUAAAAAUAGCUAAUACAAGUCACUAUAAUUAUAGUACACAGAGAAGACAGCAGGCCAACAAGUAUUAAGAUUUUUUUAAGAUGUGGUAACAAAUGUUGAUCUAAUUCUAGCCAGAAAUCUGUGUGUACACUAGGCAACGUGUGCAUAUGGAGUCACAGUGGACUGCUGUUUGAUUUGCUUGUAUAAGGGUUAACUGAA